UCUAGGAUUACUUCUACACCAUGGCUAGAAAGAUUGUCGUGAUGGCCUAGAGGGCUAGUGAGCUUUGCAGUAGUAGCCUCUUGUUGCGGAAGAGUUUAUGUUGCAAGUGUUGGAGUUUCUGGAGGUUGACACUUUAAGAGGUUGUUGAGCUGGGAUAGGUGAUGUUUUUGCUCUGUGUUGUUGGUGGAGUACUAGCUUCAAUCCUUGUUCAGCAACUCUAGCAUCAAACCUAAUGACAGGCGGUGGCGUACUUCCCUGGCGAGGAAUCGUUACGCUUUCCUAGGCUUCCCAGGGGUAGGGUUGAGUUGAUUUUUUGGGUUUCGUUUGGUUGGAUUUUUGAGUUGGUUUAGUUUGGUUUGAUUCUGGUUGUUUUGUUGGGCUUGUCAUAUAGUGUGGA
This 397-nucleotide unclassified non-coding RNA is filed under the name Hevea brasiliensis (rubber tree). The record is from RNAcentral. Lineage: Eukaryota; Viridiplantae; Streptophyta; Magnoliopsida; Malpighiales; Euphorbiaceae.